Molecule: long non-coding RNA, 3505 nt
Organism: Meriones unguiculatus (Mongolian gerbil)
Lineage: Eukaryota; Metazoa; Chordata; Mammalia; Rodentia; Muridae
Exons: 2
Source: RefSeq, a predicted model, not a curated record
AACCUAGAGCGCCGGAAGCCCCGCCUCCCCGCCCGCGUUGGUCCAAUGUACACAGCGGAUGCUCGGGUAAACGUAGUUCCUGCUGGCUUGCGUGAAUGACAGCCCAAGCAUCUUUCCGCGAACCCUCCAGCCUUGGCGGAGCGCUGGACAGAGAAAUUUACGACCAUCGUGGGGUUUUGGCGGGGCCUGAGCACAAACGUGUCCUGGGGAGUUCAAAAGCAGCCUGGGAUACAUGGGAUCCUGUCUCCAAAAGAACAAAGUGCCAAAUAAGAUGGCUCAGCAAGUAAAGGCAUUUGUCACCAAGCCUGACAACCUGGUUUCUAUCUCCAGAUGGGAGAAGAAAAGUGACUCCCACAAAGUGCCUUCUGACUUCUGUGCAAGUGCCCAAACACACAGGCAUCUACACUCAUUCACAUACAAAAUAAAUAGGAUUUCUUAAAGGAAAGAAAAGGCUGGGUGUGGUGGUAUAAGCCUUAAAUCCCAGAGGCAGGCUUAUCUCUUAGCUCAAGGCCAGCCUGGUCUACAAAAGAUUUCCAGGUCAUCCAGGACUAAAUAAUGAGACCCUCACUCAAUAAACAAACAAGGGGUUGGAGAAAUGGCUCCAUACUUACUGAUCUUGCAGAAUACCCAGGUUUGCUUCACAGCACCCACAUCAGCCUUCUCACAACUGCUUAUAUAUAAUUCUAGUGUCGAGGGAUCCAAUACCCUCUGGCUUCCUGUUUUGUUUUUCCCAAGACAGGGUUUCUCUGUAUAGCCUUAGCUGUUCUGGAUUAGCUUUGUAGACCAGGCUGGCCUUCAACUCACAGAGACCCACCUCCCUCUGCCUCCCUGACCACUGGGAUGAAAGGCAUGAGCCACCACGGCCUGGCUUUCUUUCUCUCUCUCUUUUUUUUUUUCCUGCCUUUUUUCUGUCUGAUACCGGCCUACUAUGCUUUUUCUGAUACUCUGAUCGUCCUUAUUUCUGAAGCUUCUCUUUCUGGUAUUAUCUCUCAAAAGAUUGUCGGCCUAGAAAGAUGGCUCAGUAGGUGAGGACUUGUGUUGAUAUCACAGAGACGUAAAGUCUUUCACCUUUCGGCUCCGGUUUUUCGCGACCCCUAGAAGCUGCCUUGCUGCAGUCAAACACCUGGUGACACGGCCCACUCCGCAGAAAGCGGCUGGUCAAACGUCGGAAGUCUCACCUCCUCUACGAAGCAAAAAAGUGACUCCCAGUCUACCAUUGGCCCAGCGUCCCUUUGGCCUGCCCGGAAACGCCCUUCUGGGUUUUCUUUGGCCAGCGAAGGGUUUCUGAUUGAUGUAGUACAAGUCUCCUGAUUUUAAUGAGGUACGUCUGUGCGUCACGAUCACCGUGGCAGCAACCAAGCGACGGUGUGACGAUUUCUGGGAAACACUGUGUCCUUGUCUAACCUUGAGGCAAUGAAACUUCAGAGAUUUGGUUUAAAUCCGGACAACGGCAGUGGACGGGACGGGACUUCCGAGCUUGGCUUCAGUUCCCACUGUCCCCCGAAUCGGGUCUCCGAGCCCUUAGAUGGAUUUCUCAAGUUAGGAAGAUUGAGAGCCUGAGGGCGGAUGUCCUCCACUCUCACCACGCCAAUCCGAAAGGCUCUUUCCAGCUCCUAGUCUCCUAGUUUCUGAUGGACCCAAAACUACAGUGAAGAGAGGGUGCCCAAGUUCUCGUUCAGAGAUCUGGGCCUCAGGUUCCUGGAGUCUUGUACGAGAUGGCAUCCAAAACUUUCAGUUUUCCCCUGUGUUUAUAUAACUAUACGAACAGAGAAGACCUAGCACUAAACAGUGAGGCAUAGGCUGGGUGUGGUGGCACAGGCUUACAAUUCCACUCCAGGCUGAGGAAGGAGGAUCAUGAGUUCAAAAGACCUGAAUUCAAAAUGAGUUAGCAUACUUUUCAUGCUAACCACAGUCCACAGCUCUGAAGGGCUCAAGGCUAUACAACUGUUCAUCCCCAUUCCUGGACUCACAAAGUGAGUUAAGGCCAAACUGAGUAAUUUAGACAGACCUUCUCUCAAUUGUAAAGAGUCUGCCUACCAUGAACAAAGCUAUUGAUCCCCAGCAUGUUCCUCCCCCACCCUCCCCAGAAAGCUGUGGUGAUCAUCCUUGGGGAAUGAGGGUUUUGUCAGGCUGUUCAAGUAGCAGAACAGAAAGGAUCAGCCUACACUGUUGGCAUACUUUUUUAAACUAUUUUAUUUUUGUUUCUUUUACCUCUACCUCCCUUCUCCACCCUUUAACACCCCAAAAACUAGGAAGGAGAGAAAGAACGUUAGAGGUGAAAGGGGGCAUAGUUUUCUUUAGCUACUUCCGGCUGGUUAGGAUGGUCUGGUUCUUUGGGAAAUACCAAUCUCAGUCAUCAGGAUAUCUAGCAGCCCAGCAAACCAUCAACAAUAAACACUGCAAAAGGAUGAACCAGCAACAGCACAGGGAGCAGCAGCCUUCUUUCUUUCUUUCUUUCUUUCUUUCUUUCUUUCUUUCUUUUUUUCUCUCUCCCUGCUCUGGUAUUUAUACCCUCUCUAAAUUCUCAGAAUUCCACUAACUGCAGUUGGCCAAGACCAUACCCCUCUCCCAGCCACAUGAGGUAAUUAUCAGCUGUGGAUAAAUGAAGAGCAGCCCAUAUCCCACCACUUGGGAUUAAAACAAAAACAAAUUUAUAUAACAUAACUGAGUUUUGUUUUUGUUUUUUUUUUUUAAAGAAACCAAAACUUUCACUACUUAACUCGGAGUCCCAAGAAACCCUGGGUAGAUAGGUAGUCAGUGGAUCAACAGUUGGGGUAUUAGACCAAGGACAGCUGUGAAGGAAUAAUGCAUAGCAAAAGAAGAGGUAGAGAAGACAGAGAUUUGAGAUCUGCUCAUUGUUCUGGGCAGCUGAAGGUGGAAGUGAGAUGAUGAGGCGGGGCAAGAUGACAUGGAGGGUUUGAAGAUGUUUGAAGAGUGACACCUUUAAGAAGAGAGUGAAAGGGUUAGACUUACUUUGUAACCUAUAUGUCUUCUAAAGCCUAUAGUUUUGAGUUUUAGGUCCAGGUUAAGCUAAAGCCUCUUAGUACCUUUCCAGAGAGUGAAGAAAUGUGACCCUAUCUGUGAGGACAGAUAUAAAAAAAAAAGGGCAAGCAAGCAAUGACCUUCACUCAGCAAAAGUAGGACCAGACCCUUGUCCUUGAGAUAGCGUUUCUUAGCAACGAACCUAGACUUCUGAGUAGCUUUUGACCUCCAGCCAAAAGUCUGUAGCCCCUAAUCUUCAAGGAUGAGCUAACCACCCCCACCUUAAAUUGCAGCUGCAUCCACAUUUGGCAGGACUGGCCAAGCUUGAACACCUAAGACUAGCCAAUUAUCUUACUUUAUAACUUCCUCAUCCAAUCCUAAAUUGCCAAAACUGCAACUUCAAAUUUCCCGCAAUUUUUCUUUUAAAAACCUAAAGGCCUUUGUCUCCCGGUGCCACUCUUUGCUGACCGGCAGGGGUGACCCCAUUGUACAAUGGUUAAUAAACCUCUUGCUUUUGCAACGA